AGAUUGAAAAGCUUUGGAGCAAGGUCUAUCAGAGCAGAGCCAAAAAGGCGUAAGCUUUCCAUCGCCCAGCGAAACAGUGGUGGAUGCACGAAACAAGCUCAAAUCACCCGCAGAGCAGGCCAGUGGGAAGCAAGUCCAUGGUCGGGAUGGGUUCUUCCAGGCAGUCCAAGGUCAUCAUGGGUUCUCAUCCUGCUCUUUUGGCAUUUAUGACUGGUUGUUGCUCUACCCAAGGUUUCAUCCAAACCAUUGAACUUGACAGUAAAACUCUAUCCAAAAUUCUGAACAAGUAAUUCUCAUGCUCUUCCUUAGGUAAAACCGUGGUUUCUUGAUUCUUAGAUAGGGCUUGGUUAGCAGCACAGCUAUUUACAAAAUCUACAAUGCAUGACCGAAGCAAGGUGUUCUUUUGCUUUGCUAUUGGUCAAUAGUAAGUAGAUAGACCAUGGAUGCAUCUUCUCAAUGCAGUUCUCAAAAAGAAAUAACUUCAUGUGUUUCGGAAGUCAUGGUUACUCCCCUUGGCGAUGUCAGCCUUUUCUUAUUGCAAACCUUGCUGGUUCAGUCAUAUGGCCAUCACCAUUGGAAUCGGUGAAUAUUUUAGUUGCAGUAAAUGAUCUUGCCUUAUCCACCUGCAUUUGGAGCUCUUUUAUUAUUUUAUGUUCGCUUAUCCAAAAUUUGAACAAGUGAUAUUUCAGUUGCAGUAAAUGAUCCUUUGAUUGUUUGUUUAGGUGUAUAAGAGUGUUGAUGAUGUGGCUUAGAGGAGGCCUCGACUUGCACCAAAUAUAUGCUCAUAUGCAACUACAGCCUAUGCAGGCGAAUCAUGCGCUUGUGCCGAGCUGAUCCAAGGUGGUGCAUCUGCAUCAGAGGACUGUUUUUGUUCGAUUUGUGGAACCUAGCUUGCGAUGUAGAAAAAAAAAAGGAUGGCUACAUCUGCUACAUAUCCUCCUGUGUUUUAACUUGAGCCUCUUGUGGUUUCAGCAUGAAAAGCAGGUGAAUGAGAAGCUGCACAACCCGCACACUGUAAGUUGCUCCUUCAUGCCUAUGCAGAACAAGUUACUGUGAAAGAGAAGUGUAUGCACGUUCUUUGUACAAAGCUCAGUUGUACCUUAAUCUGGGAAGUAGGAUGACCCCGACUAUACCAAGUUUGACCAAAUUUGUUGGUGAAUUAGUUUGUUUUGCCCUGAUUUUUGCGUGGUGGCAGUAUAUCUGAGCCUGGAAUGCAUAUAUCCAGUGCAGAGAAGAUCAGUUUGCUGUAUGAAAUUUUCUAAGCAUUUCAUUUUCUUUAUUCUUAGUUUUUAUAUGAUGUCGUGCAGCAGAAAACUGGUUAUGAAUUUGUUAAAAAGUAUGAAUUUUUCAUCUAAAAUUCUUGGCAGCUACCCUUCAUGAUUAUUUUUCUUCAUGCAGUAAACGCCUAGGUGAAGCAUCAAAAUUCAAUAUAACUAGUUCUGGACAUGGACAAGGGCUUCAUUUGAUCUUUUGUUGCUCUCAAGCCAUAUUUUCCCUGUGUGUCUCUUUGUGCAGGUACUUGAAAAAAAUAAAAAUACACAACUUGUCCAAAUGUUCCUCUAUCACCAUAGCCUAAAUUAAUAUGUCCAAAUGUUCCUCUAUCACCAUAGCCUAAAUUAAUAUAUAGGAAUUUAAUUUAAUCUUUUAUUCCUGUUGGGUUCACAUGUAAUGUAUUCAGCUAUAAUACACCAGUGAAUUAGACAUAUCAUCUUUUAUGCUGAAUCAGCACCACUGCAUUAUGUAGCUAUGUUCACCACAGGUUAUGAGUUUGUUUUUUGUAUUACUUUAACAGCAUGUUAAUUUUUCACAAAUCUCCUGCUUCAGCUAUAGAUUUCUUUGUACAACAUGCGCAAAUUAUUGAUCUUAUUCCGAAGUCUUAUUCUGCGGUGUUUAACUGCAGGCUGAGUUCAAUUUGUUUUUGUGCCAGAAACGGAACAGGUAGUGCUCUAACCUCAGCAGCAUAUGGUCUAAAUUUCAUACUUAGGGUCAUUCAAAUAUCUGGAAUAUUAGUCCUGAGUCAAGGUAAUUUUCCUCAUCCCUUUAAUGUAUCAUGGAAAUUUACGUCCACCUUUGUGCUUGCUUGUUAAAAAUUGCUCAUUUGGUUCUUUGUUCAGAUUUACGAUUAUUACGAUUUACUACUUCACCAUAGAUUUACAACAACAAUAUUUGUUUUGUUCUAGAUCAACUGUUACGGGAAUACAUUAUUCCCGAAGUUCUUUUAGAUGUAUUGGUCAUGGCACUGUUUUUUUUUCUGCUUUUGUAGUUGAAGGGUUAGUUACACUCUGAUUUUGUAGCAUUUGUUCCAUGUGAGAGAGAUUGUAUAUUGUUGUCAUCCUGAAACAAUGCUGGAGCUCUAAAGAAAAAGCUAGCAGAGUACUCCAUGGUUAUAGGUUGUACAAAUAGUAUGGUAAUGUUGCAUUCACUGUAGGAUGACCAAGAUGCACCAAAUUUGAGAAACUCGUGAGGUGAAUUAAUUGGUGCUUAACCUAAUUUCACUUGGCCGCCCAGCAACUUCCUUUUUGUGUAAAUGGUGCAUCUGUAUAUGAAAUGGUUAUGUAUUUUGAUUUUUGUCAUCUAAUUUUUUAGAAGAGUUGUGAUAGAUUCUAAGCAGUUGCAGUUCAUGAUUUUCCUCUUUAAUAUCCAUGUCAUUCAGUCAAGAUAGUGCGCAAAGUUUCUGGUUGUUUUUAUUUCUCCAGGCAGUGAAAACAUGUUGAUUUCUUGACCACAUCAAGUGAUACAUGCUAUGUUAAGUGUUUAAAUAUUUUUUGCUCAUUUUUUCCGCAGACCAGCACAAUGGAAUGAACUUUACAACAUUUAGUUAGCAUAUUAUAUAUUUUCCGAGGGAAAAUGGCAGGCGCUCUGCCUUUGUUAUAGAUUAUGAAUGUACAAGAGGAGAACACAAUGGAGAAAGAGAGGGAGGAAGCAAAGGAAAACGAAGAAGCAGUCACCCCAGGCGCUGCCUGUACAUGGAUGUUCAGCUAAGGUUCUACUACAUUCAGCCAGAUGAGCUGCAGAUCAUUGACAACACCACCACCAACAGAGACUGGGCAUGAGGCCGUGUUUGUGAAGAUACCUCUGUUCCUUUCGUUCCAGAUGUGCCAAGCAAAAUAUGCCCCUGUAACAGCCGUGUUCUUUGGCCCUCCAGCAAGGUGCGGCCACCACUUGCCAAUGGAGUUGAAGGAUGUGAUGUUUACUUGUUGGAUAGCUGGAUUUGAAGCGCCAAGUUUGAACCACAUUUCAGCGAUGAAAGGGCAUUGACAAAAGAGGGUGAGCUGCAGAUUCGAUAAUCUGAUCGCAUAGGGCGCAUUUGUCGUCAUGUUGGCUGCCCCGGUCCACGAUUCAAAGAUCCACGAAGGAAUCGAUCUCGUCAGAAGAGUUGAUACGCUGAAGGCCCUUCAUCCAUCUGUCAUCCGAGAGGGCAGCUGCAACCGUCAGGCUCUUCCUUCUUCGUCAGAUUGAAAAGCUUUGGAGCAAGGUCUAUCAGAGCAGAGCCAAAAAGGCGUAAGCUUUCCAUCGCCCAGCGAAACAGUGGUGGAUGCACGAAACAAGCUCAAAUCACCCGCAGAGCAGGCCAGUGGGAAGCAAGUCCAUGGUCGGGAUGGGUUCUUCCAGGCAGUCCAAGGUCAUCAUGGGUUCUCAUCCUGCUCUUUUGGCAUUUAUGACUGGUUGUUGCUCUACCCAAGGUUUCAUCCAAACCAUUGAACUUGACAGUAAAACUCUAUCCAAAAUUCUGAACAAGUAAUUCUCAUGCUCUUCCUUAGGUAAAACCGUGGUUUCUUGAUUCUUAGAUAGGGCUUGGUUAGCAGCACAGCUAUUUACAAAAUCUACAAUGCAUGACCGAAGCAAGGUGUUCUUUUGCUUUGCUAUUGGUCAAUAGUAAGUAGAUAGACCAUGGAUGCAUCUUCUCAAUGCAGUUCUCAAAAAGAAAUAACUUCAUGUGUUUCGGAAGUCAUGGUUACUCCCCUUGGCGAUGUCAGCCUUUUCUUAUUGCAAACCUUGCUGGUUCAGUCAUAUGGCCAUCACCAUUGGAAUCGGUGAAUAUUUUAGUUGCAGUAAAUGAUCUUGCCUUAUCCACCUGCAUUUGGAGCUCUUUUAUUAUUUUAUGUUCGCUUAUCCAAAAUUUGAACAAGUGAUAUUUCAGUUGCAGUAAAUGAUCCUUUGAUUGUUUGUUUAGGUGUAUAAGAGUGUUGAUGAUGUGGCUUAGAGGAGGCCUCGACUUGCACCAAAUAUAUGCUCAUAUGCAACUACAGCCUAUGCAGGCGAAUCAUGCGCUUGUGCCGAGCUGAUCCAAGGUGGUGCAUCUGCAUCAGAGGACUGUUUUUGUUCGAUUUGUGGAACCUAGCUUGCGAUGUAGAAAAAAAAAAGGAUGGCUACAUCUGCUACAUAUCCUCCUGUGUUUUAACUUGAGCCUCUUGUGGUUUCAGCAUGAAAAGCAGGUGAAUGAGAAGCUGCACAACCCGCACACUGUAAGUUGCUCCUUCAUGCCUAUGCAGAACAAGUUACUGUGAAAGAGAAGUGUAUGCACGUUCUUUGUACAAAGCUCAGUUGUACCUUAAUCUGGGAAGUAGGAUGACCCCGACUAUACCAAGUUUGACCAAAUUUGUUGGUGAAUUAGUUUGUUUUGCCCUGAUUUUUGCGUGGUGGCAGUAUAUCUGAGCCUGGAAUGCAUAUAUCCAGUGCAGAGAAGAUCAGUUUGCUGUAUGAAAUUUUCUAAGCAUUUCAUUUUCUUUAUUCUUAGUUUUUAUAUGAUGUCGUGCAGCAGAAAACUGGUUAUGAAUUUGUUAAAAAGUAUGAAUUUUUCAUCUAAAAUUCUUGGCAGCUACCCUUCAUGAUUAUUUUUCUUCAUGCAGUAAACGCCUAGGUGAAGCAUCAAAAUUCAAUAUAACUAGUUCUGGACAUGGACAAGGGCUUCAUUUGAUCUUUUGUUGCUCUCAAGCCAUAUUUUCCCUGUGUGUCUCUUUGUGCAGGUACUUGAAAAAAAUAAAAAUACACAACUUGAUGAUGUGCUCAGUUUUGACUUUAAGUAGAAUAAAAGGGCUUGCUAACAUAUAUAAGAGUGCAAAGAAGAUUGGUUGUAUUUUUUCACUAUAGUAGCUACUACAGAUUUUUAUGAUGGUUCAUAUUCACCAAAAUCUAGCUGCACUUCAACAGUAGACUAUGUGAUAAUUUGUAAGAGUUUACAGCAACUGGGCAACAUAAAGUUCCAAAAAAAAGUGCACUACGCGGUUACUGAAAUAAAUUUUAUUCUGCAUUAUGGAAGUAAUUUGUAUGGGGAGCAAUUGCAGACGCGUUUGGAUAAGGCAUGAUGCAUCCAAUUGACUCCCAGAAUACAAAGCUUCAGAGUCAAGCUAUAAUGACAGGGGCUAAAAGUGUGAAAUCGUUUCCUAAAAAAUUUUGUUCACUUCACAUUGGCCUGAACUGUAGUAGGAUUUGCUGUUUUAUUGAAUGGUCUUUGACACAUGGAUUCCCUUAUCUUUCUUGACUUGUCCUGAACACAUUCAGAAGAAUGUUUUUCAGAUGGUCAGAACAGUUUGGCCCCUCUCUGCUUUGUAUUUAUAAAAUAUUAGAAACCUGAAACACUUUAGUAUCAGGUUUUGUCAGAAUCAAGGGAAAUUCAUACUGCCUGAGCCUUUGCUGAUGUUAAGAAUGGCCAACUGAUUGAACUUGUUCACAGCAUUAGCAGUAAUCUUGAUAAACUUGGCAUUCCUGACCUUCUAUAUUUGAUGUCCUGUUCUGUUGACCUAUCUGCAGUGGUUUUUACAGAGGAAUUAGUCCAGGUGCUACUGGUUCAUUUGCUACAGGUGCAACAUAUCUUGAAUCAACUAAGACAUGGAUGGAGCACGCUAAUCCUAAUCUAAGAGGUCAUUGGUCUCACUUUAUUGCUGCAGGAAUUGGUGAGAAAAUUGUGUUCUUAUGUCUACUGUAUUUUCUUUCCGAAAAAUCUGCACGGUGCUGUGUAAAAUUUAGAAUGGCUCUCAGCAUCUAUUCGAGCAUGCUAGCUUUCUAUAGUAUUUUCAUGCGCACAUUUCUGGAAGCAUGAAUGCAUGUUCAUGGAGCAAACUGGGUCGAUUUUUGUGUGAAAAAAAGCGAUACUAUCCGCGCAAAGUUGUCUUAUUCCACUCAUUACUAAACAUAUGCAUAAUCCCUUCAUUUAACAGGCAUUGCAAUCAUUUUCCUCUGAUCUUCCUAUUUGCUUGCUCCGCGGGGCAAAACUCGGGACCAAUGGGUUGUCAAGUGAGACAAAUCCAAGAGAGCGAGGAAAAACUGAAAGGAGAAGAAGUG
Molecule: long non-coding RNA, 6282 nt
Filed under: Triticum aestivum (bread wheat)
Lineage: Eukaryota; Viridiplantae; Streptophyta; Magnoliopsida; Poales; Poaceae
Description: long non-coding RNA (TAES_LNC002716)
Source: RNAcentral